UACCUGCGGAGGGAUCAUUACACAACAAAAUAUGAAGGUCUGGCUUCGCGGCCGGCUGAAAUAUUUUUUUCACCCAUGUCUUUUGCGCACUUGUUGUUUCCUGGGCGGGUUCGCCCGCCACCAGGACCAAACCAUAAACCUUUUUUUUUAUGCAGUUGCAAUCAGCGUCAGUAAAAACAAUGUAAUUAAUUACAACUUUCAACAACGGAUCUCUUGGUUCUGGCAUCGAUGAAGAACGCAGCGAAAUGCGAUACGUAGUGUGAAUUGCAGAAUUCAGUGAAUCAUCGAAUCUUUGAACGCACAUUGCGCCCUUUGGUAUUCCAAAGGGCAUGCCUGUUCGAGCGUCAUUUGUACCUUCAAGCUUUGCUUGGUGUUGGGCGUUUUUGUCUCCCUCUUUCUGGGAGACUCGCCUUAAAACGAUUGGCAGCCGGCCUACUGGUUUCGGAGCGCAGCACAUAAUUUGCGCUUUGUAUCAGGAGAAAAGGACGGUAAUCCAUCAAGACUCUACAUUUUUAACUUUUGACCUCGGAUCAGGUAGGGAUACCCGCUGAACUUAAGCAUAUCAAAAGCCGGAGGAAA
Molecule: ribosomal RNA, 579 nt
Filed under: Bipolaris sp.
Lineage: Eukaryota; Fungi; Ascomycota; Dothideomycetes; Pleosporales; Pleosporaceae
Description: eukaryotic LSU rRNA
Rfam family: 5.8S ribosomal RNA (bases 194-347)
Source: RNAcentral